RNAcentral lists this ribosomal RNA (1154 nucleotides) under metagenome. RNAcentral describes it as "SSU rRNA". It matches the Rfam family "Eukaryotic small subunit ribosomal RNA", at positions 582 to 1760 of the family's 1831-position model. The record is from RNAcentral.
AUUCCAGCUCCGCAGGUGUAUAUCUAUGCUGCUGCGGUUAAAAAGCUCGUAGUUGGAUCUGCGUGCUCGGAACCGGUUGGCUCACUGAGUUCAAACUGGUCUCCGGCGCUUUAUUGGCUGGUUUUCCCUUGAUGCUCUUAACCGGGUGUCUUGGGUGGCUAGCACGUUUACUUUGAAAAAAUUAGAGUGCUCAAUACAGGCGCAAAGCCUUGAAUAGUGGUGCAUGGAAUAAUAGAAUAGGACCUCGGCUCUAUUUUGUUGGUUUUCGGAACGCGAGGUAAUGAUUAAGAGGGACAGACGGGGGCAUUCGUAUUGCGACGUUAGAGGUGAAAUUCUUGGAUCGUCGCAAGACGGACGACUGCGAAAGCAUUUGCCAAGAAUGUUUUCAUUAAUCAAGAACGAAAGUUAGAGGUUCGAAGGCGAUCAGAUACCGCCCUAGUUCUAACCGUAAACGAUGCCAACUAGCGAUCCGCAGGCGUUAAACAACGACCUUGCGGGCAGCUUCCCGGAAACGAAAGUGUUCGGGUUCCGGGGGAAGUAUGGUUGCAAAGCUGAAACUUAAAGGAAUUGACGGAAGGGCACCACCAGGAGUGGAGCCUGCGGCUUAAUUUGACCCAACACGGGAAAACUCACCCGGCCCGGACACCGUAAGGAUUGACAGAUUGAGAGCUCUUUCUUGAUUCGGUGGGUGGUGGUGCAUGGCCGUUCUUAGUUGGUGGAGCGAUUUGUCUGGUUUAUUCCGAUAACGAACGAGACUCUGGCCUACUAAAUAGUGGGCGGAUUCUUUCUGUCCGCAACACUUCUUAGAGGGACAAGCGGUGUUCAGCCGCACGAGAUUGAGCAAUAACAGGUCUGUGAUGCCCUUAGAUGUCCGGGGCUGCACGCGCGCUACACUGAAGGAAUCAGCGUGCUUUCUGACCUUGCCCGAAAGGGCUGGGUAACCCGAUGAAAAUCCUUCGUGAUUGGGAUAGGGACUUGCAAUUAUUUCCCUUGAACGAGGAAUUCCCAGUAAGUGUGGGUCAUAAGCUCGCGUUGAUUACGUCCCUGCCCUUUGUACACACCGCCCGUCGCUGCCCGGGACUGAGCCGUUUCGAGAAGAACAGGGACCGUCGUUGAAGGGCCCUAACGGGCUUUUCUCUGAUAGAAACUGUUUU